RNAcentral lists this ribosomal RNA (727 nucleotides) under Streptomyces sp. RNAcentral's name for it is "bacterial SSU rRNA". It matches the Rfam family "Bacterial small subunit ribosomal RNA", at positions 137 to 876 of the family's 1533-position model. Lineage: Bacteria; Bacillati; Actinomycetota; Actinomycetes; Kitasatosporales; Streptomycetaceae. The record is from RNAcentral.
UCUGGGACAAGCCCUGGAAACGGGGUCUAAUACCGGAUAACACUCUGUCCCGCAUGGGACGGGGUUAAAAGCUCCGGCGGUGAAGGAUGAGCCCGCGGCCUAUCAGCUUGUUGGUGGGGUAAUGGCCUACCAAGGCGACGACGGGUAGCCGGCCUGAGAGGGCGACCGGCCACACUGGGACUGAGACACGGCCCAGACUCCUACGGGAGGCAGCAGUGGGGAAUAUUGCACAAUGGGCGAAAGCCUGAUGCAGCGACGCCGCGUGAGGGAUGACGGCCUUCGGGUUGUAAACCUCUUUCAGCAGGGAAGAAGCGCAAGUGACGGUACCUGCAGAAGAAGCACCGGCUAACUACGUGCCAGCAGCCGCGGUAAUACGUAGGGUGCGAGCGUUGUCCGGAAUUAUUGGGCGUAAAGAGCUCGUAGGCGGCUUGUCACGUCGGAUGUGAAAGCUCGGGGCUUAACCCCGAGUCUGCAUUCGAUACGGGCUAGCUAGAGUGUGGUAGGGGAGAUCGGAAUUCCUGGUGUAGCGGUGAAAUGCGCAGAUAUCAGGAGGAACACCGGUGGCGAAGGCGGAUCUCUGGGCCAUUACUGACGCUGAGGAGCGAAAGCGUGGGGAGCGAACAGGAUUAGAUACCCUGGUAGUCCACGCCGUAAACGUUGGGAACUAGGUGUUGGCGACAUUCCACGUCGUCGGUGCCGCAGCUAACGCAUUAAGUUCCCCGCCUGG